AAUAUUUCUUGCAAUCUGUAACUGAAUGGCCAGUAAAUCACACAUUCUGUCUUCUACUAAAACUGGAAUGCAAAUAGUCUUAAAGCAAUCACCACGCAUAUUACUACUCUGUGGAUUACAGGUGUCCUUAUCCAUACUUUAUUCCCCUUCUUGACAAAUUUUCCCAUGUGGAGAGAUUACAAAGCAAGAGACUCGUUUACCAUGCACACAACAUUAUUAACAUGCAUUUUGCUUUAAAUCACACUGCACUGUUUUAGAC
Pelobates cultripes (western spadefoot toad) is the source of this 259-nucleotide non-coding RNA. Lineage: Eukaryota; Metazoa; Chordata; Amphibia; Anura; Pelobatidae. The record is from the annotation of a GenBank genome assembly.